RNAcentral lists this ribosomal RNA (403 nucleotides) under Anthocoris japonicus. RNAcentral describes it as "partial 16S ribosomal RNA". Lineage: Eukaryota; Metazoa; Arthropoda; Insecta; Hemiptera; Anthocoridae. The record is from RNAcentral.
GCCGCAGUAUUUUAACUGUGCAAAGGUAGCAUAAUCAUUUGCCUUCUAAUUAAGGGCUUGUAUGAAUGGUUGGAUGAGAAAUUAACUUUCUUUAUUUUAUUUUAUUGAAUUUUAUUUUUUAGUUAAAAAGCUAAGAUUUAUUUAUUAGACGAGAAGACCCUAUAGAACUUUAUAUUAAUUUAUAUUUUUUUAUGUUUUAGUUUAUUCUUUUUUAAUAUGUAUUCUUAUUUUGUUGGGGUGACAGGUAAAUUUAUUUAACUUUACUUUUUUUAUUUCAUUUAUUUAUGAUUUUUUUGAUCCAUAUUUUAUGAUUAUAAGUUUAAGUUACCUUAGGGAUAACAGCGUAAUUUUAUUGGAGAGUUCUUAUUUAUAGUAAAGUUUGCGACCUCGAUGUUGGAUUAAA